This 284-nucleotide long non-coding RNA is filed under the name Nicotiana benthamiana. Its description in RNAcentral is "long non-coding RNA (NBEN_LNC011965)". The record is from RNAcentral. Lineage: Eukaryota; Viridiplantae; Streptophyta; Magnoliopsida; Solanales; Solanaceae.
GUUGUAACCAUUGAUAGUUGCCCAUUGCCCAGUCUAUCUUGCUAUAUACUCUAGAAUCAGCAUCUUGUUUAUUUGUCCAAGUAAAGUGCCAGCCAGUUUCCCUUAAGACAGUCAGUUGUAGUUCAUCCAUAGUCUCUUUGAAAUCCUUUACUUCAGCUUCAGUCACUGGAGAACCAAUCAUGUCCUCAGAACUUAAAACACAGUUAAAAUCUCCACUUAUAAGCCAUACAUCUUGUUGUGGUAUAGGAAUUGACUUGAGGUCCCUCCAUAGUUGUGCCCUAAGC